UUGUUCUCAGUUCGGAUUGUAGUCUGCAACUCGACUACAUGAAGCUGGAAUCGCUAGUAAUCGUAGAUCAGCAUGCUACGGUGAAUACGUUCCCGGGUCUUGUACACACCGCCCGUCACACCACGAGAGUUUGUAACACCCGAAGCCGGUGGAGUAACCUUUUAGGAUCUAGCCGUCGAAGGUGGGACAAAUGAUUGGGGUGAAGUCGUAACAAGGUAGCCGUAUCGGAAGGUGCGGCUGGAUCACCUCCUUU
RNAcentral lists this ribosomal RNA (253 nucleotides) under Staphylococcus aureus. RNAcentral describes it as "partial 16S ribosomal RNA". It matches the Rfam family "Bacterial small subunit ribosomal RNA", at positions 1282 to 1533 of the family's 1533-position model. The record is from RNAcentral. Lineage: Bacteria; Bacillati; Bacillota; Bacilli; Caryophanales; Staphylococcaceae.